This 122-nucleotide small RNA is filed under the name Salmonella enterica subsp. enterica serovar Typhimurium. RNAcentral's name for it is "RtT RNA". It matches the Rfam family "RtT RNA", at positions 15 to 130 of the family's 130-position model. Rfam says of the family: This family represents a bacterial cis-regulatory element known as RtT RNA. The exact function of RtT is unknown although it is thought that it may be involved in changing the cellular response in relation to amino acid starvation. The record is from RNAcentral. Lineage: Bacteria; Pseudomonadati; Pseudomonadota; Gammaproteobacteria; Enterobacterales; Enterobacteriaceae.
UGUACGGGAAGGAUGAGAAGCUUCGACCAAGGUUCGAUUCGAGCGCAGCGAGAAAGCGUUGCCGCAGGCAACGACCCGAAGGGCGAAGCGCGCAGCGCUGAGUCAUCCUUCCCCCACCACCA